RNAcentral lists this ribosomal RNA (510 nucleotides) under uncultured bacterium. Its description in RNAcentral is "partial 16S ribosomal RNA". It matches the Rfam family "Bacterial small subunit ribosomal RNA", at positions 355 to 874 of the family's 1533-position model. The record is from RNAcentral.
UGGGGAAUAUUGCACAAUGGGCGCAAGCCUGAUGCAGCGACGCCGCGUGAGGGAUGACGGCCUUCGGGUUGUAAACCUCUUUCAGUAGGGAAGAAGCGAAAGUGACGGUACCUGCAGAAGAAGCACCGGCUAACUACGUGCCAGCAGCCGCGGUAAUACGUAGGGUGCGAGCGUUAUCCGGAAUUAUUGGGCGUAAAGAGCUCGUAGGCGGUUUGUCGCGUCUGUCGUGAAAGUCCGGGGCUUAACCCCGGAUCUGCGGUGGGUACGGGCAGACUAGAGUGCAGUAGGGGAGACUGGAAUUCCUGGUGUAGCGGUGGAAUGCGCAGAUAUCAGGAGGAACACCGAUGGCGAAGGCAGGUCUCUGGGCUGUAACUGACGCUGAGGAGCGAAAGCAUGGGGAGCGAACAGGAUUAGAUACCCUGGUAGUCCAUGCCGUAAACGUUGGGCACUAGGUGUGGGGACCAUUCCACGGUUUCCGCGCCGCAGCUAAGCGCAUUAAGUGCCCCGCCU